Molecule: long non-coding RNA, 1366 nt
Organism: Oncorhynchus nerka (sockeye salmon)
Lineage: Eukaryota; Metazoa; Chordata; Actinopteri; Salmoniformes; Salmonidae
Exons: 5
Source: RefSeq, a predicted model, not a curated record
CACACCUGAGUUAGUGAGGUCACCACCACGUGCACCGCGCAUUCUCACAUCGAGAUGAUUCAGCCACCACGGUAACCACGCGCUCCAGCCACUCACUCCCUCAGCUCAAGAAUACACCAACAUUCCGAACUGCAGGCAACAGGCGGGUGGAGAGAUCGGGGAGCCAGCUUGGAUAGCGGAGAGCGCACACCACCAGCGCAGUCGAGACUAAAACGGAAAUAACGAAUUAACUACCAAAGGGAUUGUCAUUUCCUUAACAUCCUAUCAACCGUUAAUGACACAUCGUUAAAGGAGACAAAACGAAAAACACAACAGAGAUUGAUUUAUUAUCCAUAGUUUACCGUUCCAGCGCGUGGAAAGAUGAAGACUAAAAACCUUGAGCAAAGCUUGUCUGAUUCCAGAGAAUUGGAUGGAUCGUAUGACCAGCUGACUGGUGGACUGAAGAGGAAAUUGGUGGCUCUGGCCAAACACAAAGACCUUAUGCCUUGGGUGAAGAGUAUAUGCAUUCAUCUGUGGUGGAGUUGUAGCUCAUGUGGAGGAGAUGGAGUUCAAGUCAAUGCUCCAUCAGAUCUGUUGGGUCCAUCGCUGGUAAGAGGACGGAGUGGAAUGCCACUGUUACAAUGGAUAGCUAACAGAGGAUCAGCAGAGGAAGUAGAGGUGGCUACAGGAAGAUUCAUCAACCUACAAAGCCCUGUACUCUCUGGUCAUGGACAAACACCUGCAGAAGGAUCUUGAUCAGAUGGCACUGUUUAAACACACAGGCACUCCAAGAUGCAUUGUUUACCCUAAACAAUUAAAACAAUGGAUUGCCUAGCCAAUAUAUCGCCCAUCACUCAAAAAUUCAGGAAUGACCUGAUGGAGCGUGUCUUACAGAGACGCAUGGACAAAUAAUUGAAAUACUAGGAGCCAAAAUCCGUUGGAAAAGGCUGUGGUCUGGUUGACAACAUGGCCCCCAUCCCAACAUGGUCCUCCUUGCACUACAACCUAAUACAAACACAUUAUAUUGUAACGUAAUUUGUUAGCUUCUGGUCCUUAUCACUCUGCAUCUAUAGCAUUUGAAAAAAAUCCAUUCAAUGUAGGCUGCUACUGUACAUGAAAGCAUAUCUAAUUUAUACUGUCUAUUUUAUUGCAUAUUUGACAUUUUAUUGAUAUGAAUUUUGAGAAUGCCUUGUCUACACUAUGUAUUGUUCAUUAUACAGACCCCAAGUCUGUGUUGUAAAAAAUCUAUAGCGGUCUUUGCCAGUUCAUCGAUUGUUGUCAUUACAUAGGUAUACUCUGAUGUUUGGGGUUUUACCAAUAUAACUUCAGUAUUCAAAUGUUACUGAUACAUUGAUCUGACUGCUUUAUUACAUACACAAUACUAUCA